This 405-nucleotide ribosomal RNA is filed under the name uncultured bacterium. RNAcentral's name for it is "bacterial SSU rRNA". It matches the Rfam family "Bacterial small subunit ribosomal RNA", at positions 28 to 428 of the family's 1533-position model. The record is from RNAcentral.
GACGAACGCUGGCGGCGCGCCUAACACAUGCAAGUCGAGCGAGAACCAGAGCUUCGGUUCUGGGGAAAGCGGCGAACGGGUGAGUAACACGUGGGUAAUCUGCCCUCGGCGCCGGGAUAGCCCGGGAAACCCGGAUUAAUACCGGAUGGCCUCUCGCGCUCUCGGGCGCGAAAGAAAAGGUAGGCUUCGGCUUCUGGCCGAGGAUGAGCCCGCGGCCGAUUAGCUUGUUGGUGAGGUAAUGGCUCACCAAGGCUCCGAUCGGUAGCUGGUCUGAGAGGACGAUCAGCCACACUGGGACUGAGACACAGCCCAGACUCCUACGGGAGGCAGCAGUGGGGAAUCUUGCGCAAUGGGCGAAAGCCUGACGCAGCGACGCCGCGUGAGGGAUGACGGCCUCGGUUGUAA